RNAcentral lists this ribosomal RNA (445 nucleotides) under uncultured Bacteroidales bacterium. RNAcentral describes it as "bacterial SSU rRNA". It matches the Rfam family "Bacterial small subunit ribosomal RNA", at positions 354 to 796 of the family's 1533-position model. The record is from RNAcentral. Lineage: Bacteria; Pseudomonadati; Bacteroidota; Bacteroidia; Bacteroidales.
GUGAGGAAUAUUGGUCAAUGGAGGGAACUCUGAACCAGCCAUGCCGCGUGAAGGAGGAAGGCCCUAUGGGUUGUAAACUUCUUUUGCCUGGGGGCAAUAAGGGCGGUGCGCCGUCCGAUGAGAGUACCAGGCGAAUAAGCAUCGGCUAACUCCGUGCCAGCAGCCGCGGUAAUACGGAGGAUGCAAGCGUUAUCCGGAUUUAUUGGGUUUAAAGGGUGCGCAGGCGGCGCGUUAAGUCAGCGGUGAAAUGUCCCGGCUCAACCGGGGAGCUGCCGUUGAUACUGGCGUGCUGGAGUGCGGACGGCGCCGGCGGAAUAUGUAAUGUAGCGGUGAAAUGCAUAGAUAUUACAUAGAACACCGAUCGCGAAGGCAGCUGGCGAGGCCGUUACUGACGCUGAGGCACGAAAGCGUGGGGAUCAAACAGGAUUAGAAACCCCUGUAGUCC